GAACAUACCUAACUGUUGCUUCGGCGGGCAGGGGGUCCCCUCGGGGACGCCCUCCCGGCCGCGGCCCCCUACCGGGGGACGUGGCGCCCGCCGGAGGAUACCUAACUCUAUUUUAACGACGUUUCUUCUGAGUGGCACAAGCAAAUAAUUAAAACUUUUAACAACGGAUCUCUUGGUUCUGGCAUCGAUGAAGAACGCAGCGAAAUGCGAUAAGUAAUGUGAAUUGCAGAAUUCAGUGAAUCAUCGAAUCUUUGAACGCACAUUGCGCCCGCCAGCAUUCUGGCGGGCAUGCCUGUUCGAGCGUCAUUUCAACCCUCAAGCUCCGCUUGGUGUUGGGGCCCUACGGUGGACGUAGGCCCUUAAAGGUAGUGGCGGACCCUCCCGGAGCCUCCUUUGCGUAGUAACUAACGUCUCGCAUCGGGAUCCGGAGGGACUCUUGCCGUAAAACCCCCCAAUUUUUCA
RNAcentral lists this ribosomal RNA (462 nucleotides) under Colletotrichum cereale. Its description in RNAcentral is "partial contains internal transcribed spacer 1, 5.8S ribosomal RNA, and internal transcribed spacer 2". The stretch from base 153 to 306 matches the Rfam family "5.8S ribosomal RNA". The record is from RNAcentral. Lineage: Eukaryota; Fungi; Ascomycota; Sordariomycetes; Glomerellales; Glomerellaceae.